UAAAGUACAAUUUGUAAGUCGCUCUGGAUAAGAGCGUCUGCUAAAUGACUUAAA
Salmo salar (Atlantic salmon) is the source of this 54-nucleotide non-coding RNA. NCBI's taxonomy places the organism in Eukaryota, Metazoa, Chordata, Actinopteri, Salmoniformes, Salmonidae. The record is from Rfam.